GAAUUGGGUCCUUGGGAUGUGAGGGGAGGGUAGUCACCUGUGCCCCUUGGGAAAAAUGCUAUCAGCAUCCUGCCCUGGGUUGUCAUUGCCUGAUGCCAGGUCAGAGCUGAACCUGUAUAAAAGGCAGAAGCUCCUGGCAGCAUCUCAGUCCACCUGCCUCCAGGGUAAUCUGCUCCAGUGUUGAACCAGCUCCAUUCAGUUUCUGCCAAGAUGUCCUGCCAGCAAAACCAGCAGCAGUGCCAGCCCCCACCCAAGUGUCCCCCUAAAUGCCCACCCAAGUGUACUCCUAAGUGUCCUCCCAAGUGCCCAGCCCCAUGUCCCCCUCCAGCGUCUUCCUGCUGUGCCCCCAGCUCUGAGGGCUGCUGCAGCUCUGGGGGUGGAGGCUGCUGCCUGAGCCACCACAAGCUUCGCAGAUCUCUUCGACGCCGACACCAGAGCUCUGGCUGCUGUGGCAGUGGCGGUGGCCAGCACUCUAGGGACUCUGGCUGCUGCUCUGGGGGCUCCAGCUGCUGCUCUGGGGGCUGCUGCUGAACUGGGUCAUGAAGACCAACUGAAGAGCAACACUCCAGGAUUCAAAGAGCUGAUGAUCUGCCCAGCCUGAGUCUUCUCUUUUUCUGGCUUGGAAGAUUGGAAGAAGAGAACGGAAGGGCUUCCGAAACACUCAGAACGUCCCUCUUCUUCCUGCCACGUUCUUCCCAUGGUGAGGUCUAGAGGUUUAACCUCUGAUACUCACUGGCCUGAUUUCCCACUAGAUAUAGUUCUUUGGAGGACUCAGUAUUGGAAUUUGGGUUAUCACUGUAACCAUAAAGCUUUUUAUUCGUGGUGUCACUGCCUCUUGAUUGUUUCGUUCACCUCUCCCACUCCCCACCCACUGCCUCAAGCCAUCUUCCCUCCCUUUCUUCUAAAUACAAGUCAACACUUAAAAAAUCAGUUUGGGAAACAGAUUUUGCACCAAAACUACUCAGACCUCUGGGAAACAAUAUUUCCUUUUAUGAUCUGAAGGAGGGGACUUUAAGCUUGAAGGAAAAAAUCAUGUUGGAGACCAUUACUCUGACAUAAGCUUCCCAUGAGAAGGGUUGGGAACAUGCUUUUCCAAAAGGAGUUGGUGGGUCCCAGAAAGGUCACAGUGAGAUGACUCUGAGAGGGUUUCCUUCCAGCAUUGGUGAUUAUUUAAAAAAAAAAAAAACAAACCACAACUUUAUUUCCUAGUCACAGGCAAUAAGAUCACACAAAGUGGGCUCCAGUGAAUAAACACUUUUACUUUACUGAUUAUUAUAAUCCUGGGUGCUUCCAUUAAUUGACUAGAGAGGGGAACUGAUGGAGGUUAGUUUCUGGGGCAUGAGUUUAGGAGGCAGGUAUGGAAUUUCUGAGUCCAUUUCCUCUGGCUCCUGAAAGCCAGAGUUUGAGUCUGAGUAGGGAACCAAGAGGGGCUUAUCAGGUGGCUCAGUGGUAAAGAAUCCACCUGCCAGUGUAGGAGAUGAUGGAGACUUGGGUUCAAUCCCUGGGUCAGGAAGAUCCCUUGGAGAAGGAAAUGGCAACCCAC
Bos taurus (domestic cattle) is the source of this 1543-nucleotide long non-coding RNA. The record is from Ensembl. NCBI's taxonomy places the organism in Eukaryota, Metazoa, Chordata, Mammalia, Artiodactyla, Bovidae.